RNAcentral lists this ribosomal RNA (1329 nucleotides) under Lycaena phlaeas (common copper). RNAcentral's name for it is "16S ribosomal RNA". Lineage: Eukaryota; Metazoa; Arthropoda; Insecta; Lepidoptera; Lycaenidae. The record is from RNAcentral.
AAAAUAAAAAUUAAUAAAUUUAAAUUUAAUAAAAAUAAUUUUAAUAUUAAAAUAAAUAAUGGGGGUUAAAGUAUUUUAAUAGAAAAAAUUAUAAAAUUUAUAGUAAAUUAGUAUAGUAAUAGAAAUUUGAAAUAGUUGAAAAUUAAUUUUUAAAAAAGUAAAUUUAAAUUAUUGUAUCUUGUGUAUCAGAGUUUAUUAAAUAAUAUUAUUAAAUAAAAAUAUCUCGAAUUUAAAAGAGUUAAUUAAUUAAUAAAGUUAAUGUAAAAUAAUUAUUUUAAAUAAUUAAUUUGAAAUGAAAUGUUAAUCGUUUUUAAAUAUAUCUAGUUAUUUUAGAAAAAAGUUUAAUUUUAAAUUUAUUUAUUAAAUAUAUUAAAUUAAUUAAUAUAAAAAAAAAUAAAUUUUAUAAUUUAAGGGAUAAGCUUUAAAUUAAAGAAUUAUAAUAAUAAUUUAAAUUAAAUAAAAUUUUUAAAAUUUAUAUUGUUUAAAAAUUAUAAUUUAUUAUAAAAAAUUUUAAUAAAAAUAAAAUUUAAAAUAAUUUAAUUUUUUAUAAAAAUAUAAUUUGUAAUAAAAAAAUAUUAGAAAAAAUGAUAAAAUUAGUAUAAAAAUAAAAAUAAAAUUAUAAAUUAAUGUAAAGUAAUUAAAAGGAAUUCGGCAAAAAUAUAUAUUCACCUGUUUAACAAAAACAUGUCUUUUUGAAAAAUAAUUUAAAGUCUAAUCUGCCCACUGAUUUUAUAUUAAAGGGCUGCAGUAUAUUGACUGUACAAAGGUAGCAUAAUCAUUAGUCUUUUAAUUGAAGACUUGUAUGAAGGAUUUGAUGAAAUAUAAACUGUCUCUUAUAUAUUAAUAGAAUUUAAUUUUUUAGUUAAAAAGCUAAAAUUUAUUUAAAAGACGAGAAGACCCUAUAGAGUUUUAUAAUUAUUUUUUAAUUAUUUAUUUAUAAAUAUAAAAAAUUUUUAUUAAAUAAUUAUUUUAUUGGGGUGAUAAAAAAAUUAAAAUAACUUUUUUUAAUAAAUUAACAAAUAUAAAUGAAUAAUUGAUCCAUAAAUUAUGAUUAAAAGAAAUAAUUACCUUAGGGAUAACAGCGUAAUUUUUUUUUUUAGUACAAAUAAAAAAAAAAGUUUGCGACCUCGAUGUUGGAUUAAGAUAAAAUUUAAAUGCAAAAGUUUAAAAUUUUGAUCUGUUCGAUCAUUAAAAUCUUACAUGAUCUGAGUUCAAACCGGUGUAAGCCAGGUUGGUUUCUAUCUUUAGAAAAUUAAAAUAUUUUAGUACGAAAGGAUCAAAUAUUUAAAAUAAUUUUAUUAAAUUAUGAAUAUUAUUAACUAAAAUAUA